RNAcentral lists this ribosomal RNA (504 nucleotides) under uncultured bacterium. RNAcentral describes it as "bacterial SSU rRNA". It matches the Rfam family "Bacterial small subunit ribosomal RNA", at positions 29 to 527 of the family's 1533-position model. The record is from RNAcentral.
AUUGAACGCUGGCGGCAUGCGUAACACAUGCAAGUCGAACGGUGUUUGGUGCUUGCACCAGACAUAGUGGCGGACGGGUGAGUAAUGCGUAGGAAUCUGUCUUAGAGAGGGGGACAACCCGAGGAAACUUGGGCUAAAACCGCAUAUUCUCGAGAGAGGAAAGCAGGGGACCGGAAACGGCCUUGUGCUCUAAGGUGAGCCUACGUCGGAUUAGCUAGUUGGUAGGGUAAAAGCCUACCAAGGCGAUGAUCUGUAGCUGGUCUGAGAGGACGGACAGCCACACUGGGACUGAGACACGGCCCAGACUCCUACGGGAGGCAGCAGUGGGGAAUAUUGGACAAUGGGGGGAACCCUGAUCCAGCGAUGCCGCGUGUGUGAAGAAGGCCUGCGGGUUGUAGAGCACUUUCAGUGGGAAAGAGAAGCGUCUUGUGAAUAAUGGGACGUGGAGACGUUACUCACAGAAGAAGCACCGGCUAAACUCUGUGCCAGCAGCCGCGGUAAUCG